Centrocercus urophasianus (Greater sage-grouse) is the source of this 1691-nucleotide long non-coding RNA. RefSeq lists it as uncharacterized. Lineage: Eukaryota; Metazoa; Chordata; Aves; Galliformes; Phasianidae. The transcript has 3 exons. The record is from RefSeq and is a predicted model, not a curated record.
GUGAGCCCGGCCCGGCCUGACGCUGCGGCCGCCCGCAGCACCUGGGGUGACUGCUCAUAGCCAAACGCCAUGCGGCCCCAGCACAAAAACAACGUUCAGGAAAGCUGCUUGCCUGGCACGGGUACUGCAGAUGCCCGGCAUCUUCUCAUCAUAUUCUUUGCACGCAUCUUCAGGAAGCAAUUCUGUCCUCACUCCAUUCUAACUCAGAGGAACUUUUUGUCCUCCCCUCAUUUUUCUCUACACAUUCUUUUUGUAAGCCUCAUUUACUGCACCCAUCCUUUCCUCCCAAUGCCUUUGCCCGUGUCUCAGUCAUCCCAUUCACCUCUAGAAAUAAAUGUCCUUUCUCAGUUUAUGUUUCUAGCACUGUUCUAAGGCUGCCCACUCUCCCUCUCGAGGGUUUCCUCGAGGGCUGAGCAGCUGAGCACAGCCCCAGCGCUCUGCAUCUGUCCACAUAUCAAUCUUCACCAGAGGUACCAGCGAUGUCGCCACAGGCACUCAGGCUGGCACAGCUUCAGGGCCCGACCUCAGAUGUCAUUAUGCCCAUCACACUGCAGAGCAAUGUCGCUGGGUGGUUUUAGAAGCCUCCAGCCUCCAUUUUGUUUGACGUCCCAAGCGAGCGGUAAUGCUGCACCAACCAGACAAGAGCAGACAAGCAGGAACACGUCCUUAGAAUUUCCAACCUUAGGACAAUCAGGACCUGUUGCACUCGGUGCCCAGAAUGGAUGAAAUUCCCAAGGUCCAUACAGCAAACCUGAAAGCUAUCUUAGGUAGUUCCACUCAAAUUGUGCAUCUGUUGCUCUUGGACCACGUUCACCAAUUCAGAAGAGCACGACUGGUGUAAUGAAUCCUGAGCGCAGCUCCCUCUCACAGCUAUGCUAGUGUUAGCACCUACUGAAAAGAGCAGUCUCACUUUGCCUCCCCUCAGGUGUGCCUUCCUGUCUCCUUUGUACAGCACUCUGAUUUUGGAGGGUGGACUUUCUGCAAGUUAGCUUUCUGGGUCACUGCUGGCAAGAGCCAGGGCUGGCAUCAGGAAAGCUGAAGGAACUCCCAGCCUGGAAGAAGAAGGAGGACAAGCACAGACAUGCACUGCCAGCCUCCUCCAUACUGGAGGGCACAAGUUACCCACUGCACUUGCUUGAAGAAAAAAACCCCACUCUGAAGGAAAAAAAAUGAGGCCAUGGUGCAGAGAGGAGAAGAAAGCCAGGCUGCAACAACUGACACAGGGCUCAGAAAGAUUUUUGCCUCGGCGAGACAUUCUGCAAACAUGCUAAGGCUACAAAAUGCCCAAGUUGACAAAGACAUGCAACGCUGACCAUUCCAUAAGUCACGGCUAUUAUAGGAGCCACCGUGCCCAGCGGGCCGCAGGUCCCGUCGGACAGGGAUGGCGUACAGUGAUCAUGGCAACGCACUACACAGGACCUAGUAACCUGAGGUAGGUCUCUUCACAGUAAGAAAACAACAUCCUACACCAGUGUUACAUCCUGAUCAGCAGGAACCCGUCGGAAGUUCCCGGAGACGUGGAGUGGGGGACUGUUUCCUUAACAAGUGUGCAAUAAAGAAACAGGAAACAUUGAUGUUGUUUGACCUUAGUAUACGUGAGCAGAACAAAGAGUUAGUGUUACUCAUGCCAGUGAAAGCCAACCUAAACCUCUGAGGGGUGUUAGCAGCUUCAAGAUAAAGGAGUCAGUCAG